Hibiscus syriacus is the source of this 135-nucleotide long non-coding RNA. RefSeq lists it as uncharacterized. NCBI's taxonomy places the organism in Eukaryota, Viridiplantae, Streptophyta, Magnoliopsida, Malvales, Malvaceae. The transcript has 3 exons. The record is from RefSeq and is a predicted model, not a curated record.
CGUGUUGUGAACUAGGCUGCGCUAGCCCACGGUGGUUAACGGAUGUUUUGUCAUUCAACAUCCGACCUUGAGCGGCAGUCCGGCAGCUGUAUUACUUAAAUAAACAAAUAAAUGUAAUGGGGGUGUUGUAAUGGU